AGUGAACGCUGGCGGUAGGCCUAACACAUGCAAGUCGAACGGCAGCACAGGAGAGCUUGCUCUCUGGGUGGCGAGUGGCGGACGGGCGAGGAAUACAUCGGAAUCUACUUUUUCGUGGGGGAUAACGUAGGGAAACUUACGCUAAUACCGCAUACGACCUACGGGUUAAAGCAGGGGAUGUUCUGACCUUGCGCGAUUGAAUGAGCCGAUGUCGGAUUAGCGAGUUGGCGGGGGAAAGGCCCACCAAGGCGACGAUCCGUAGCUGGUCUGAGAGGAUGAUCAGCCACACUGGAACGGAGACACGGUCCAGACUCCGACGGGAGGCAGCAGUGGGGAAUAUUGGACAAUGGGCGCAAGCCUGAUCCAGCCAUACCGCGUGGGUGAAGAAGGCCUUCGGGUUGUAAAGCCCUUUUGUUGGGAAAGAAAUCCAGCUGGUUAAUACCCGGUUGGGAUGACGGUACCCAAAGAAUAAGCACCGGCUAACUUCGUGCCAGCAGCCGCCGUAA
This 506-nucleotide ribosomal RNA is filed under the name uncultured bacterium. Its description in RNAcentral is "partial 16S ribosomal RNA". It matches the Rfam family "Bacterial small subunit ribosomal RNA", at positions 29 to 523 of the family's 1533-position model. The record is from RNAcentral.